AUGCGUUGGGAAGGGAUGGCGCUCUCGCGUCCGCGCAAGUUGCGGCUGGGCGGGCGCCGCCGUCGCCCGGACCUCCGGCCUCCGUCCUCCGUUGCGGCCGCCGUGACCGGAUCCGGGUACCCCGCGAAGACCUCUCCCACGCCAGUCUCGGCGGCGCCCCGUCUCUCGGUUCGCCCUGCAAUGCUGCUCACCCGAGCCUCCGCGGCGGCCACCACUCCAUCGUCUCCGGCUGCUGCACCCGUCGUCCUUCCGCCGUCUGCGUCGUGCGCUCAGGCUGCAGGCACUACCCCGGUCGCCGGUGUUCUCCCUCGACCGCGGCCGCUGCCCCCAGCUUCCAGGUUCAGGAGGGAGGACGGGGGUCUUAAGGCUGCGUGCACGCCCUGUUCGGAGCCUGUGUCGACAACUGCUUCGGUCGCGACGCCUGGCUCCCCUGUCCUUGCCGAUGCCGCCUCGGAUGUGUUGCUGCCGGCCCCUGUUGCCUCUGUCAAUGGGGACGACGUAGGCUGUGAAGAGGAAAUGGCCGUGACGCUGCCACCACGGGCGGUGUUGUGGGCCUCCGCUGCUGACGACGAUGACGAUGAAGAUGACGAAGAGGAGUUGGCUCCCCAGACACCGCCGGCUGCCACCAAGGCCCUUGACUCUGGAGGGAUGUGCGUGGGGCAUGACGCAGACACAAACGAGGGUUGGCAGGAGGUGCUACCGCGGCGCGGCCUGCGUCGUCCGACUUCGUCGCCUUCCUCGACAAUGGCUCCUCGCCCAUCCCCGCUUGGCUUCGCGGUAGAUGUUACAGAUGCUUCGCUCAUGGUCAUCGCGCGGCUGUUUGCAAAGAGCCGUUGCGGUGCUCCCGUUGUUUGGAGAACGGUCAUCGUGCGCGUGGAUGUUGCAAUCCAUGGCGUCCUCUAA
Molecule: ribosomal RNA, 903 nt
Filed under: Triticum aestivum (bread wheat)
Lineage: Eukaryota; Viridiplantae; Streptophyta; Magnoliopsida; Poales; Poaceae
Description: partial small subunit ribosomal RNA
Source: RNAcentral